RNAcentral lists this long non-coding RNA (2829 nucleotides) under Homo sapiens (human). RNAcentral describes it as "HSALNT0027773". The record is from RNAcentral. Lineage: Eukaryota; Metazoa; Chordata; Mammalia; Primates; Hominidae.
CUUUGAGAAGAUCUCAUAGCAGAUAACCUGAUGACUAUGUGCCUAAAGGCUGGUCUCACUCCCACUGUGCCCCUGCAACAGCACUGAGUCUAUUUCCAGGAAGCUGGAGAUCAGAGCUGAGAACUUGCACCAGACCACAAGCCUCGCCGUUGAGAAAGCAAGCCAACUCACAGUUUUUUGGCAUCUCCGAGAGCCUGCAGCAGUAAUUCAGUUUCUUCAAAGGGUUGUGGAUUCUCUCAGCUUUCCUGGUGUGUUCCUGAGGUAGUUCUUGGAGCAAAAGUUCACGAUGUGAGUCUCCACACGCUGCUCUGUCUGUCUGAGCCGGGGCUGCAAGCUACUUCUGCCUCCUAUUCAUCAUCUUAAUCCAAGAAUAUCUCCAUUCUCUUCUUACAUUGUCAUAUUAUAUCAGUAAUGACUUCCCUAAAUGUAUCAACUGGCCAGGCAUUGUGGCUCAGGACCGUAAUUCCAGCACUUUGCAAGGCUGAGGCGGGAGGAUCACUUGUGCUUGGGAGUUCGAGACCAGUCUGGGCAACAUGGUGAGACUCUGUCUCUACAAAAAAUAAAAAGAAAAAUAACUGGGCGAUUACACCACCACAUUCCAAUCUGGGUGACGGAGUGAAACUCUGUCUCAAAAAAAAAAAAAAGAAUAAAUAAGUGUAUCAACUAAGUCUCAUCUUUUCUCAUAGUUUCCUUCAUUUUUCUUUUUGCCACAUUUGAGGAGUUUGCACUGGUUUUCUAAAUGCCAAUGUACAUUCUGGGGCAGAAAGAAGGUGAUCUCUUUCUCUAUGACACCACUUUAACAAGACAGAUUAACAAGAGAAAAGCAUAACAACUUUAUCACAUAUACAUCUAUGCACAGGAGUCACACAUGAUAUAAAAUCUCAAAGAAAAGGCCAAAUGUUUGAUGUUUAUAUACCCACUUCAAUAGGGAGAUGGAAGUAGGGGAAAUGUGCUCAAUUCUUUAGAAGGAUAAAUGAUUACUAGGAAGAAUAAAUGGACAUCAGGAGACAGAAAUUAACUUGUAAAUAAUUAUCUUUAUAAUUGGAAUGAGACUGAAAGGAAGACAUCAUCUGGUGAAAGUCCAUCCAUGUGUGGUUGCAUUCCUCAAUCUUCUUUCUUGCUAUUGGUAAUGAGGUUUCUGGGAGGGGAUGGAAGGCGAUUCUGUUCCUCUUUGGGAGUCCAGUUUCUAGGUAAAUAAGGGAACCUCAGAGAAGAGCUUCAUCCUGUGCUUUGGGAGAGACAAAGGAUUGAGAGAAUUGAGGGAUGGGAUCAGAGAGACCUUGAGGCUCUCUACAUUUGCUCCUUUAGUUCAUCACGUCAAAGCACCAUAUAUUAGGGCAUGAUUUUCUAACCUUAACAAUGUGUAAAUACCGUGUGGUUAAAAGGUGAGAAAAUAAUCUAAUUCUGGGAUUGUGAAUAUUUGUGUAGCCUGGUCUGUUUUCUAUAUAAUGCUGACCACAGCCAAAUUAUGGCUCAGUGUUUAGCAUUGGCCUUCUUGAAAAACCACAUGAUAUACAGAAUCUGUCCAAGGCAUAGAAAUAGUAGAAAAUGUGAAAAUCACCCUUACUUGGGGUAUCUCAUAUAAGCACAUUGGGAUUCUCCACACACUUUUAACCAUUAAUUCUUGCUCCAUAUUGGUUUUCUUUACAUUAUUCUGAGCUUUCAUUUGCUAUAAUAGUUCAAGUUUAACACCCCCAAAUAUUGGCAUCUUUGAUACUUGAGUAUUUCUUCUUUAUUUACAACUUUGUACUUACAUUUGAAGCUUGGAUUGACCCUAUUGCUGCGAUUAACCUCACUGCUUUACUCUUCCUAUGAAAACCCCACUAGUUUUUUGGGUUUUUUUUUGUUUGUUUUUUGAGUUGUUAUUGCCUUUUGCCAUUGUGGCUUUUCCCUCCUAAAGAAGUUAUUACAGCAGGUAUGGGCCAGUUUCAUGAACCUGACUUAGCAACAUGCAGGGCUUUGGUUAAGUUAGCAUAUUUUGCAGUGGGGAUGCCUUUGGAACAACUGAUCUUAACUUUAUUUCAAAUUAGGAUGAGCCUCUCCCUAGAGUGCUUAUCAUAAAGGGAAAGCUCUGAUAAAUAGCUGAGAGUCUCUUUCAACUUUUUAUAGCUCCGUCCAAACCAUAAUUAUAAAACAUUAAAAACGUGGAUUUACAAAUUGAGAACGUGGAUCAGAAGAACAUUUCAAAUUGUGCCUCCAGUUAGCAGACAAGAUGGAUUCCCUGUGGCUCAAAAGUUACAAGCAGAACCAAGAGGCCAUGGCAGGGUGAGAGGGCAGUCACAUUCUGUUGUGUCCUUAGAAAGUGUUGCAGAACCUGUUUUUCUGCAACUGAGUCAAAGAACAGUUCCUGAAAAGUACUGCAGCUGGAAAUUUCCCAGCUGACCGCUAGCAAGUCACCUGGAGCCAACCAGCUGACCACCUGGAACCAGCCAAUCAAGAAAGACUGAUGAUAUGGGGCUUAAAGGUCAUCUGGUCCAGACUCUGUUCCUCAUUCCCCUGCCUCCCCUUCCCUGCCCUGCAGUUUUUACCUUCAUAAUCUCCUGCAUUCCAGACCCUCUUCAAAGUGCACUUUCAUCUCCGCAAUCUGCAGAUUGCUUUUAGAAAAUAAAGUUGUAGGUUGACUGUAGUUAAUAACAACUUAAUUGAAUAUUUUAAAAUAAGUUAAAGAAUGUGAUUGGAUUGUUUGUAACUCAAAAGAUAAAUGCUUGAAGGGAAAGACACCCAAUUCUCCACGAUGUGCUUGUUUCAUAUUGCACGCCUGUAUCAAAACAUCUCGAGUACCCCAGAAACAUAUACACGUACUAUGUACCCACAAAUAUUUAAAAUAAU